This 468-nucleotide ribosomal RNA is filed under the name uncultured bacterium. RNAcentral's name for it is "partial 16S ribosomal RNA". It matches the Rfam family "Bacterial small subunit ribosomal RNA", at positions 28 to 507 of the family's 1533-position model. The record is from RNAcentral.
GACGAACGCUGGCGGCGUGCUUAACACAUGCAAGUCGAACGGAAAGGCCCUGCUUUUGUGGGGUGCUCGAGUGGCGAACGGGUGAGUAACACGUGAGUAACCUGCCCUUGACUUUGGGAUAACUUCAGGAAACUGGGGCUAAUACCGGAUAGGAGCUCCUGCUGCAUGGUGGGGGAUGGAAAGUGUCGGCGGUUGGGGAUGGACUCGCGGCUUAUCAGCUUGUUGGUGGGGUAGUGGCUUACCAAGGCUUUGACGGGUAGCCGGCCUGAGAGGGUGACCGGCCACAUUGCGACUGCGAUACGGCCCAGACUCCUACGGGCGGCAGCAGUGGGGAAUAUUGCACAAUGGGCGGAAGCCUGAUGCAGCAACGCCGCGUUCGGGAUGACGGCCUUCGGGUUGUAAACCGCUUUCGCCUGUGACGAAGCGUGAGUGACGGUAAUGGGUAAAGAAGCACCGGCUAACUACGUG